RNAcentral lists this ribosomal RNA (351 nucleotides) under Halomonas sp. Its description in RNAcentral is "bacterial SSU rRNA". It matches the Rfam family "Bacterial small subunit ribosomal RNA", at positions 961 to 1312 of the family's 1533-position model. The record is from RNAcentral. Lineage: Bacteria; Pseudomonadati; Pseudomonadota; Gammaproteobacteria; Oceanospirillales; Halomonadaceae.
GCGAAGAACCUUACCUACCCUUGACAUCGAGAGAACUUUCCAGAGAUGGAUUGGUGCCUUMGGGARCUCUCAGACAGGUGCUGCAUGGCUGUCGUCAGCUCGUGUUGUGAAAUGUUGGGUUAAGUCCCGUAACGAGCGCAACCCUUGUCCCUAUUUGCCAGCGAUUCGGUCGGGAACUCUAGGGAGACUGCCGGUGACAAACCGGAGGAAGGUGGGGACGACGUCAAGUCAUCAUGGCCCUUACGGGUAGGGCUACACACGUGCUACAAUGGCCGGUACAAUGGGUUGCGAAUCCGCGAGGUGGAGCUAAUCCCAUAAASCCRGUCUCAGUCCGGAUCGGAGUCUGCAACU